This 227-nucleotide long non-coding RNA is filed under the name Elaeis guineensis (African oil palm). Its description in RNAcentral is "long non-coding RNA (EGUI_LNC026197)". The record is from RNAcentral. Lineage: Eukaryota; Viridiplantae; Streptophyta; Magnoliopsida; Arecales; Arecaceae.
CUCAUCGUUAUCCACAUGAACAGCUCUGACCCAAUGAUGUUCGGAUACAUGGCUAAGAUCUACUAGUCAGAAUCAAAUCGUCUGACAUCGAAUUAUCUUUUUGAAAUGACGUUCAGUGUCGAAUUAUCCUAUCAAAAUGAUAGCUCAAUAAUGAUUUCACAGCUAUCGAAAUAGCAAAACAGUCAGAGAUCUCUCGUAUUCCAAAAACUCAUAAAGGCCAACAGCUG